GAGACUCUGUGCGCGUGCAUAUCAAUAAGCGGAGGAAAAGAAACUAACAAGGAUUCUCCUAGUAACGGCGAGUGAAGCGGGAAGAGCUCAAAUUUGAAAUCUUAAAGGGUUUCCCUUGACGAAUUGUAGUUUAAAGAAGUGUUUUCUGUUGGAGUUUCGGUAAAAGUUCUUUGGAAUAGGACAUCAUAGAGGGUGAGAAUCCCGUAUUUGACCAUUACUUUCCAGCUGUGUGAUACACUUUCAAAGAGUCGGAUUGUUUGGGAAUGCAUGUCCAAAAUGGGUGGUAAAUUUCAUCUAAAGCUAAAUAUUGGCGAGAGACCGAUAGCGAACAAGUACCGUGAGGGAAAGAUGAAAAGAACUUUGAAAAGAGAGUUAAACAGUACGUGAAAUUGUCAAAAGGGAAGCGUUUGACACCAGUGUUGUUUAGUUGAAAAUCAAUUCAAUAAUUUUUGAUUCUAAGUAGUAUUGACUUCAUCAGCUUGCUGCUUUCUUCUCAGGAAUUAUUGAAUGCACUUUUCAGUUAACAAGUCAACAUCAAUUUCUUUUGUUGUAAAAGGGUAAGAGGAAGGUGGCUUACGCUUCGGCGUAAGUGUUUAUAGCCUUUUACCUCUGCAAUCGGAGAGAUUGAGGACAGCAGCGUAGACUCCUUCGGGGGUUAGAUACACUUGUGCUAAGCUAUAGCCUUGUAUAGACAACUUGUUGACUAUGCUCAGUCAUGUAGCUUACUCGCUUGUGCUAUUUUACCUACGCUUAGGAUGUUGACAGCAGUAUAGACUGU
RNAcentral lists this ribosomal RNA (778 nucleotides) under uncultured Neocallimastigales. Its description in RNAcentral is "partial large subunit ribosomal RNA". It matches the Rfam family "Eukaryotic large subunit ribosomal RNA", at positions 23 to 638 of the family's 3401-position model. Lineage: Eukaryota; Fungi; Neocallimastigomycota; Neocallimastigomycetes; Neocallimastigales. The record is from RNAcentral.